This 372-nucleotide long non-coding RNA is filed under the name Ananas comosus (pineapple). RNAcentral's name for it is "long non-coding RNA (ACOM_LNC033547)". Lineage: Eukaryota; Viridiplantae; Streptophyta; Magnoliopsida; Poales; Bromeliaceae. The record is from RNAcentral.
ACCUCAAUGGAAAAAAAAAAGGGUAAACUUCAAAUACCACUAUAUUGUGGUUUCGCGCUUUUUCAAUUUAGUAUUCUAUGAUUUAAUUAAAGUGUAUUAUUUUUGUACCAUGUGAUUUCAUUUUUUUUUCUGCCAGUAUUUCUGUUAACUUUUCGUUAAAUCAUAUAGAAAAAACUUCAAAUACUCCACCUAUGAUUUAUCGAAUAUUUACUUUAGUAUUCUAUGGUUUACCAAAUUUCCAUAUAGUUUUUAACUUUAUCACUGAUUUAACGAAAAAAAUUAAUGAAAGAGAUAACGAAAAGAAAAAAAUAAAACCAUAGGGUAUUAAAGUGAGUAAGUGCGAAACCAUAUUCACUUUAGUUUUUGAAGUUC